This 217-nucleotide unclassified non-coding RNA is filed under the name soil metagenome. Its description in RNAcentral is "partial contains 5.8S ribosomal RNA, internal transcribed spacer 2, and large subunit ribosomal RNA". The record is from RNAcentral.
AAGACUAUAGACCUGCGGAGUACCUGCGGAGGGAUCAUUACAAGUGACCCCGGUCUAACCACCGGGAUGUUCAUAACCCUUUGUUGUCCGACUCUGUUGCCUCCGGGGCGACCCUGCCUUCGGGCGGGGGCUCCGGGUGGACACUUCAAACUCUUGCGUAACUUUGCAGUCUGAGUAAACUUAAUUAAUAAAUUAAAACUUUUAACAACGGAUCUCU